UACUUUUCCGUUAGUCCCGCCCACAUUAGUUCGUGCAGUACAGUGAUGGAAGGGCGAGCGGGUGAUUUGAAUUUAUUUCAGGCUAAGUUCGAAGUGGACCGUGAGAUUAAUAUUAGUUUAAAGCAAUCUUAAUGAGCAUUAGUGAGCAGGCGAACUGAUUUGAACACUUCCGUCGAUCAAUUCGGAACCGAGUGUGAGGAAAAAUACGCUCCCUUUCAGCGAGAAGGCCACAGCGGACAUCAUACCAACCGAUCAAAUGGCUGAGAGUUUCGGGGCUAAACCUAAGAGACAGGGUGAGAAGUUCUCACAUCCGGGAGAGACUUGGAGUAGAUCCAAUCUCCUCCCUGCCAAAAGCAACCAAUAGUUCAGACAUCUGGUUAUGAUGCCUCCUGGUAGAAGUGCUCCACGCAUGUCCAACUGUCAAGAGACUCCAGCGCAGACCUAGGAUGCACUGGAUGGAUUUUAUCUCCCGGCUUGCCUGGGAACGAACCCCUGGAGGAACAGGAAUGGAAGUGUGCAAGGAUAGAUGCUGACCUGUCUCUCUUCAGUCUGGCUCUGGGUUGGAGUAAUAGGCUUGAGUGUGUAUGAUGGGGUGGCAAACAGAGAAGGCCGACCUGCCUAACACCCCCGCCAACACUUCACAUGUGCUUGCCCGGCCAUGAAAAACUACUUGAAGAGCCGAGAGGUCAGGCAAGUACUCAGAUGAGAUGCAUCAAGGGAAAAGAUCUGAUUUUCAAUCGAUCAAAUACCAGUGAAAGAGCACCUCGUAAAAGUCCACGACAGUGUUCCACGACACUAUAAAGACCAGCGUAGAAGAGCUCACAAGAGUAGCAGCAGGAGAAAGAGAGAAAGAAAAGCAACAAAAGUGGCAGGAUAAAAGAAAUCUUGAUUUUGUAUGAGAGAGUAUUGAUUUUUUUUCCACUGGGUUGCCCAUGAGCACCCUUUCUGUUAUUAGUUUAGAGAAGGGAAAAAAGAAAGAAAACGGCAUAUACACGAAAGAGAGAGAGACAUAUUGAUAAAGAGAGGGAGUGCAGGAUGAGAAAAGUAAAAGAAGGGAGUGGGGAAAACGAGACAGGCAGCAGAAAGACUUGGAGAGGCCACUGAGAGCGAAAGAUGAGAGACAUGUGAAAGACAUGCGGUAUGUAUACGCUGUUCAGCAUGCAAAUGUUCUGUUUUCAUGAAUUACCUGGAAGACCUGCUACAGUACAUUAGCAGAAAUGUGCAGGAUACAACCAGAGGACGAAUGAAGACGCCAUUUUUACCAUAUUUUUCUUGACUCAGUUUUUGAAUGCUGUCAUGAAGCAAUAUGGCUUCGAUUUCCACAAUGCACGCAGAUGUAGCUUGUAGAUGAGAGAGGUGAGGCAGGUUCAUGUCCUUGCAGGUCUAUGCCGCAACCGUUAUUGUCCUAUAUUUUAAUCAAGCCAUUAGAGAGGUCGAGCUUCUGACCUCCAUGCCCAAUCAUGUUGGAACUGCCAGGCCAAGCACUGCUCUUUCAGCUCUCACUCAAACUCCCCUUGGACAUUUGGUCCUUUUAAAUAUUUUAUGUUCCUUACCAUACGUACAAGUCAGGAGGCUCAAAGUGUUAGUUUACAUUGUCUUUAAUGUAUGGAAGUAAAUUAAUGCCAAAUGUUUUUGAAAUAAAAAGCUUGUUGAA
Long non-coding RNA from Megalobrama amblycephala (Wuchang bream), 1654 nucleotides. RefSeq lists it as uncharacterized. The record is from RefSeq and is a predicted model, not a curated record. Lineage: Eukaryota; Metazoa; Chordata; Actinopteri; Cypriniformes; Xenocyprididae. The transcript has 3 exons.